GCAGCUGGUGAGGUCACAGGCUGUGACAGUCGAAACUCUGUAACGGGAAAAGGCUUUCUUUUAUUUUCAGUUCUGUAUUUUUUCCAAAUAUUGACUGCCAGCGAAAUGAAGCCUUUCAGGGACGGCGGUCAGGACAGCGGACAGCCUAUCACGUUAUCAGGAGCUCGCUGACUCUUCAACGGCCAGUUCCUCCAUACACUUUGGUGACUCCCGCUCUACGUGGAGGCACCCCGGCGGUCCGGUUCUCAACACUCUCAGCUUUUCACUGGCCUGGGCGAAGUAGUUCUUUAGCUCCUCCACUGGACCUUCUCCGGAGAACAGCCUCUCCACGUACGCCUGGGCGUAUUGAUCCGAGGUGAUCGUCUCCAGGUUGAGUGAGGACAAUGAAGCUGCAACGUGAAGAAGAUGCUGCAGCCAAUCCCGGCUGAUUUCGGGCAGAUGGCAGACUACACCCUGAACUGGUCGCCACUCAGUCGCCGGGCACAUGUGGACACAAACGACCAUUCACACGAGUCCGGUUGUCUUACCUGUAAGCAGGUACCAUCUGUGCCAGGUCCUCCUUGUAUUGCUCCAGCACGGCCCUCGCUGACAGGGGCUCGUCACGCCCCUCCAGGACAGCCAAGUGAAUCAACAUUUGGGUAUGGAACGCCGCCCCGCUAGCCCAGAACCUCAAAGACCUGAACGUCCGAAAGUGUAGUCCUGGAGGAGUCGUGUUUUAUCAGCCAGGUUGAUCCUGCAGCGUUUCAAGUACUCCUCCAUGACUUCUUGGAGCUCCCGCACUCUCUAUUGGAGAUCAUGUUUCAUUUUAAUUCCAUCCAAAGAGUUCCAAGAUCAUACAUCACAACAAGGCUUAACCUGGCACGACGAUGGACCGGUCGCCGUCUUUCCCGCCCGCGACAAGGAUGUGACAAGCAGGUCCAUUACCAUGGUAACGGCAAGUCCCAGCAGUCCGGCGAGACGGGGUUCAUCCGAGAAUGAUGAUAGUCGUCCAAUCAGAUCCUUCAGGAAGAAGGUUACAACUGCUCAGGGAGCUGCAGGAUUGUUUUUUACAGAGGCUAAAGAAUAUAUACCUUCCUUAUUUAUUUGGGGAUGGCAACAUCAUCUACAGUGAAUUUCUGAGGCACACAGGGCAUUUGCGCCUGGAGGUGGGCCCCAGGUUCUUCGUUGGCCAACAGCAGGGGGUGCACUACGCUCAGGUUCGGUACAGCUCCACCCUCCAACAUGGUCCGGUACAAAAGGUUACCAAUGGCACAUUUCACCCCGGAGAGUUCCUCUUCUGACGACAGCAGCUGGCCCAUGUUGACGUAUUUAGCGGCUAAGAUUCUAAGCUAACACUUCACAAAAUAAUGUAGCAGUACUUUCACAUUUGAGCUUGUGUGUGUGUUGUUGUUGUUGUUUUUUUUUUAACUGGUCUCUUGCUCGCUUCCUGUCCCACUUCCUUUUCCUGCUCCAGUAGAGUUUUCCAAGACAAGACUGGAGUCGAAUUUAGCUGAGCUAUAAAUGUUGACCUCCCCCUAGCCACGGGGAGCAGAACCCUUCAGCGUAUUGCAAAAAGAUGGCCCUUUAAAGACGCUGACCCCCGAAAGCCCUCUGACCCCUUUAAAUAUCAACCCUUCAAAGAGUAAAGUCGUUAUUAAAACA
Molecule: long non-coding RNA, 1641 nt
Organism: Hippocampus zosterae (dwarf seahorse)
Lineage: Eukaryota; Metazoa; Chordata; Actinopteri; Syngnathiformes; Syngnathidae
Exons: 8
Source: RefSeq, a predicted model, not a curated record